CGGAAGUCUGCGUGUGACAGUCUGUCGCUGACUUGUUUACACACGAGACUUAUUUAAGUGAUUCAGCGCUCAAAGUUUGUUGUUUCUUCCACGAAGUGCCUUGGAAACAUUGUCUGACUGCAAAGGAAAGUUGGCGCGGGCAAGACAUGAAUGUCAGAGAGAUGUUUGCCAAACCUUCACCAGUUAAGAGAAGCACUCAGGUCUAGAGUCUGGGCUUCAGUUCCGUGUCCAUCAUGACAACAUUUGAAGGCAUGCAUCAGAAGUGUGAGCACUACACCUGAGGAACAGAGGCCAAUAAAGCAGUGGCUGCAGAAAGCUGAAAGUCGCUGAACACUUCAAGGCCGGCCGUGCUCGGGUCCUCGUCCCUGACGGAGGACUCGGUUCUCACCACCUGCACUUUAAUUAGAGAUGAGACCGGCACGCAGAGAGCAGGGCAGGACAAGAGGGAUGCAUGCUUUAUGUAAAAAAAAAAAGCCUGGCUAAUUAGUGCAUCUUAGUGUGCACUUAGGAGUGGG
Molecule: long non-coding RNA, 515 nt
Organism: Nerophis ophidion (straightnose pipefish)
Lineage: Eukaryota; Metazoa; Chordata; Actinopteri; Syngnathiformes; Syngnathidae
Exons: 4
Source: RefSeq, a predicted model, not a curated record